GACGAACGCUGGCGGCGUGCUUAACACAUGCAAGUCGAACGAUGAAGAAGAGAAACGCGAACUUCGGUUCAAAUUUCACUUCGGAUUAGUGGCAGACGGGUGAGUAACGCGUGAGCAACCUACCUCUUACAAAGGGAUAGCCUCGGGAAACCGUGAUUAAUACCAUAUGACACAUUCAUAAGGCAUCUUAAGAAUGUUAAAGCUACGGCGGUAAGAGAUGGGCUCGCGUCCCAUUAGCUAGUUGGUGAGGUAACGGCCCACCAAGACGACGAUGGGUAACCGGCCUGAGAGGGUGAACGGUCACAUUGGAACUGAGACACGGUCCAAACUCCUACGGGAGGCAGCAGUGGGGAAUAUUGCACAAUGGAGGGAACUCUGAUGCAGCGACGCCGCGUGAGCGAUGAAGGAAUUCGUUUCGUAAAGCUCUGUUCUAUGGGAAGAAAAGGACUGUACCAUAGGAGAAAGCCCCGGCUAAAUACGUG
Molecule: ribosomal RNA, 482 nt
Filed under: uncultured bacterium
Lineage: Bacteria
Description: partial 16S ribosomal RNA
Rfam family: Bacterial small subunit ribosomal RNA
Source: RNAcentral